AUUGGACGCUGGCGGCAGGCCUAACACAUGCAAGUCGAGCGGUUGAGGUCGCUUGCUACCGAUGCAGCGGCGAACGGGUGAGUAAUACAUGGGAAUCUGCCUGGUAGUGGGGGACAACGUCUCGAAAGUGACGCUAAUACCGCAUACGCCCUACGGGGGAAAGGGGGGGAUCUUCGGACCUCUCGCUAUCAGAUGAGCCCAUGUCCGAUUAGCUAGUUGGUGGGGUAAAGGCUCACCAAGGCGACGAUCUGUAACUGGUCUGAGAGGAUGACCAGUCACACUGGAACUGAGACACGGUCCAGACUCCUACGGGAGGCAGCAGUGGGGAAUAUUGGACAAUGGGCGCAAGCCUGAUCCAGCCAUGCCGCGUGUGUGAAGAAGGCCUUAGGGUUGUAAAGCACUUUCAGUGGGGAGAAAGGUUAUUCACCUACUACGUGAGUAAAUUGAUGUUACCCACAGAAGAAGCACCGGCUAACUCCGUGCCAGCCGCCGCCGUAA
This 498-nucleotide ribosomal RNA is filed under the name uncultured bacterium. RNAcentral's name for it is "partial 16S ribosomal RNA". It matches the Rfam family "Bacterial small subunit ribosomal RNA", at positions 30 to 523 of the family's 1533-position model. The record is from RNAcentral.